Oreochromis niloticus (Nile tilapia) is the source of this 356-nucleotide long non-coding RNA. RefSeq lists it as uncharacterized. Lineage: Eukaryota; Metazoa; Chordata; Actinopteri; Cichliformes; Cichlidae. The record is from RefSeq and is a predicted model, not a curated record. The transcript has 3 exons.
CACCACUGAUGCUCUGUGUGACACAAAUGACAAAACAACACUAUCAAAGGACAAAGGGGGACGGACGAGGCAAAGAAGAAAAAAUAUACAAACAGUUCAGAAGGAUAAAGAUGAAACUAUAGAACUGAGAAGCAGAACAUCGGUAGAGACAGAAAAUCACACAUCAACUGCCUGUAAAAGACAGACAUGGCCAGGAAAUACAAACACCUUGCUUGCACACAUUUAGUGACUGGGAAGUGAAAGUGACUUCUCUGGUGGAGAAGGAGCCUGGAUUUGUGCGUGAGGUUGAGAGGUACCGGCUAGUCAGGCUCACCUCAACACACAGCCUUGGGCUCUAGAACCAGUCUCCUGGAGAG